CUUUCUCUCUUUCGUUCCCACCCAUCCGCAUCUCCAGCCCUCCUCUCUCUUUUUCUUUCUGUCCCCCUCUCAUACACACAAGCAGACCCCCUAUCUCUUUCUCUCUCUGAAGCAGCGAGCGGGGUGGGCUCGCGGUGGAAAGCCGAUGCAGCGCGUGACCGAUGGCGGUCAGAUGCGACGAACAGCGAUGGCAGUCCAUCAUGCACCUGUUCAUCAGCCCCCUCCACCGGAAUCGCUCGCUGGCGUUCUCCUUCACCCACAUGCUCCACAGUCGCUACAAGUCCAAGGACGAUCUCGACGCCUAUUCGGGUCACCCGGCACACAUCAGCGUCGUCAUGGAUCAAGUAUGCCUGAUCUCUUCUUUUACUAGAGCUGAGUUCGAGUUGAGUUCAUGUUUACUGGAGCCGAGCCCGAGAGUGUUUGGAUCCCGCUGGCAAGAACAGAGCAAAAGUAGUGCGCGCACAAACGCACACAAGUACAACGAGGAACUCGAGACAGUAAAGGAAGAGAAAAGAUCCAAAUGCAAAUUUUCGCAUAAAAUUGCUGCAAAUGAUUUCAUUUAACCGGGUAGAGCAUAUUAUUAGAGAAGAGAAAAUGAUGGCUGCACAGGAGAUCGUUAAGCUAUUUUGUGAACUUAUUUCUGUCCGUCUACCCAUAAUUGAAGCACAAAGGCUGUCUUCUCCGACUUUUCCAAGCUAAAGACCAGAUCGAUUUAUGUAUGUGUGUAUAUUUGAACGACAAGCAGAGCCAGAUCCGAUUACCAGCAACGGUGGCGGCUCUAGCAGCGACAAUGGCGGUGGCAGCUCCCUCCUCCAGCAUCCAACGACUGCCUCUUCAUCUGGUGAGAGGGACACGGGAGGGACAACAACGGGUGGGGGGGGAGGCAUUGCGAGCAACUGAACCAUCUCCGGCUACCAGCAAUGGCGGCGACGACAACUCGCUCCUCCAGCAUCCAGCUACUGCCUCUUCAAUCUGGGUUUGUAAUUUUUAUUUAUGUAUUUUAUAUAAAUUUUGUAUAUAUUGAAGUAUUGGGCUUUAAUUAUAUUUUAAUUAAUUUGUGUAUUUGAUUAUGUAUUUGUUUGUAUGCGAAUAUUUGAUUAAUUUGUGACAUUUGAAAAAAAAAACUCAGAUGUUGGGACUCGGGUAUGAUUUUGCA
Long non-coding RNA from Diospyros lotus (date-plum), 1156 nucleotides. RefSeq lists it as uncharacterized. The record is from RefSeq and is a predicted model, not a curated record. NCBI's taxonomy places the organism in Eukaryota, Viridiplantae, Streptophyta, Magnoliopsida, Ericales, Ebenaceae. The transcript is spliced from 4 exons.